CAAGGCCGCUCAUGACCCACGGGUGACACGGGGGCUCACGUCCCGCAGGCGUGGAGGCAGCCCUGGCACGCGGGGGACACCGGGCUCCCGUCCCGCAGAUGACACCAGGCCCCGUAUCCCACAGGUGACACCGGGCCCGUGUCCCGUAUGUGACACCGGGCCUACGCCCCACAGGCGACGAGGGCCUCCUGCCCCACGAGUGACACCAGCUUUUAUCCCAGUGACGGGGCUGAGUUUAAUUCAAAUAAAAGGCACGACUCCCAUGUCCCACAGGCCGAGAAUGAGACAAGCUCCUUCGCUGAUGGUCCUUCUGUGUGACAAGAGUGGCUGUUUCCCUUUGGGACAGCGGAGCUGUGGAAUGGAUGUUUGAGGUCCUCCAAAUAUGUCAACGUCAUAGAUGACAUCGUGAUCCUCAAUGCCCUGCUCCCCCAGGAAUCCCCGGGAUGUUUUGUACCGUCGUAAAAUAUCCCCAACAUCUGAAUAAAGGCAAGUUCUGCUGGGAUGGAUCAAA
Aquila chrysaetos chrysaetos is the source of this 511-nucleotide long non-coding RNA. RefSeq lists it as uncharacterized. The record is from RefSeq and is a predicted model, not a curated record. The transcript has 2 exons. NCBI's taxonomy places the organism in Eukaryota, Metazoa, Chordata, Aves, Accipitriformes, Accipitridae.